CAGGGUGUGAUAUAUUAGAUUUAGAUUCUAAGAAUAAGAAGUGAGAUCUUCUUACUUUGU
This 60-nucleotide transfer RNA is filed under the name Cipangopaludina chinensis. RNAcentral describes it as "tRNA-Leu". Lineage: Eukaryota; Metazoa; Mollusca; Gastropoda; Architaenioglossa; Viviparidae. The record is from RNAcentral.